Molecule: ribosomal RNA, 114 nt
Filed under: Acanthosepion pharaonis
Lineage: Eukaryota; Metazoa; Mollusca; Cephalopoda; Sepiida; Sepiidae
Source: RNAcentral
UUACGGUCAAAUCACACUGAAACACCGGUUCUCGUUCGAUCACCGAAGUUAAGCAUCGUAGAGCCAGGUCAGUACUUAGAUGGGGGACCGCUUGGGAACACCUGGUAUUGUAAG